Molecule: transfer RNA, 72 nt
Filed under: Urocitellus parryii (Arctic ground squirrel)
Lineage: Eukaryota; Metazoa; Chordata; Mammalia; Rodentia; Sciuridae
Also listed under: 1 other name
Description: Spermophilus parryii (Arctic ground squirrel) tRNA
Rfam family: tRNA
About the family: Transfer RNA (tRNA) molecules are approximately 80 nucleotides in length. Their secondary structure includes four short double-helical elements and three loops (D, anti-codon, and T loops).
Source: Rfam by way of RNAcentral
GGGAAUGUGACUUAGUGGUAGAGUGCUUGCCUGUCACACAUGAGGCCUUGGGUUCAAUUCCUAGCACCACCA